UUUCUUUAAAGACUACUUUUCAUCAUCGCUACUACAAGAUAGGUUAAUAAACCAAAAAAAAAAGAAAAAGAUAAAGUUGCACCGUUAAUAUAAAGUUGCAUUUUUUCAAAAAAAAUUGUAUUGUUUGAGAAAAUCAUUGCAUUCUUUGAAAAAAAAAUUGUAUUCUUUGGACAAAAAUUACACUCUUUAUUCUAAUAAAGCAAACUAACAUCUAACAAUGGUAUGAUAUUACCUAUGGCGUCUAAACAUUAUUUGAAGCCUUAGAAGCCUUU
This 272-nucleotide long non-coding RNA is filed under the name Ananas comosus (pineapple). Its description in RNAcentral is "long non-coding RNA (ACOM_LNC013203)". Lineage: Eukaryota; Viridiplantae; Streptophyta; Magnoliopsida; Poales; Bromeliaceae. The record is from RNAcentral.